GACGAACGCUGGCGGCGUGCUUAACACAUGCAAGUCGAACGGAAAGGCCCUGCUUUUGUGGGGUGCUCGAGUGGCGAACGGGUGAGUAACACGUGAGUAACCUGCCCUUUACUUUGGGAUAACUUCAGGAAACUGGGGCUCAUACCGGAUAUGAUCUCCUGCUGCAUGGUGGUGGUUGGAAAGUGUCGGCGGUUGGGUCUGGACUCGCGGGUUAUCAGCUUGUUUGGCGGGUAGUGGCUUUCCAAGGCUUUGACGGGUAGCCUGCCUUAGAGGGUGACCGGCCACAUUGGGACUGAGAUACGGCCCAGACUCCUACGGGAGGCAGCAGUGGGGAAUAUUGCACAAUGGGCGGAAGCCUGAUGCAGCAACGCCGCGUGCGUGAUGCCGGCCUUCGGGUUGUAAACCGAUUUCGCAUGUGACGAAGAGUGAGUGACGGUAAUGGGUAAAGAAGCACCGGCUAACUACGUG
This 468-nucleotide ribosomal RNA is filed under the name uncultured bacterium. RNAcentral's name for it is "partial 16S ribosomal RNA". It matches the Rfam family "Bacterial small subunit ribosomal RNA", at positions 28 to 507 of the family's 1533-position model. The record is from RNAcentral.